RNAcentral lists this long non-coding RNA (278 nucleotides) under Oryza brachyantha (malo sina). Its description in RNAcentral is "long non-coding RNA (OBRA_LNC000091)". The record is from RNAcentral. Lineage: Eukaryota; Viridiplantae; Streptophyta; Magnoliopsida; Poales; Poaceae.
CUCCAUUCUGCCCCCUCCUUUCUUCGGCAGGUAGGCUCGCCAGCUCCGUCCCGUUCCUCCGUGCCACCCUCUCUUUCCACCGGCAAGUAGGCCGCCGCCAUCCCCUUCCUCCGGCGAGCAGGUGGAGCAGCGCCGACUUCCUCCCUAUCCUCCUCCGACCAGCACCAUUUCGGAGAAAACACCAGAACCCGAAAGAAAAAAAAGAAAGGAAAAAAGAGCACAUCCAGAAAGGAAAAACCACAGGAUGUAUAAGCCAGUUGCAGAGACCGACUACAGGA